Molecule: transfer RNA, 67 nt
Filed under: Marmota monax (woodchuck)
Lineage: Eukaryota; Metazoa; Chordata; Mammalia; Rodentia; Sciuridae
Description: tRNA.Val
Source: RNAcentral
GGUUGUAGCUCAGUGGUAGAGCAGUUGCCUAACAUGUGUGAGGCACUGGGUUUAAUCCUCAGCACCA